Molecule: ribosomal RNA, 433 nt
Filed under: uncultured bacterium
Lineage: Bacteria
Description: partial 16S ribosomal RNA
Rfam family: Bacterial small subunit ribosomal RNA
Source: RNAcentral
AACGAACGCUGGCGGCAUGCCUAACACAUGCAAGUCGAACAAGACCUUCGGGUCUAGUGGCGCACGGGUGCGUAACGCGUGGGAACCUGCCCUUAGGUUCGGAAUAACUCCCCGAAAGGGGUGCUAAUACCGGAUAAUGUCUUCGGACCAAAGAUUUAUCGCCUUUGGAUGGGCCCGCGUUGGAUUAGCUAGUUGGUAGGGUAAAAGCCUACCAAGGCGACGAUCCAUAGAUGGUCUGAGAGGAUGAUCAGCCACACUGGGACUGAGACACGGCCCAGACUCCUACGGGAGGCAGCAGUGGGGAAUAUUGGACAAUGGGCGAAAGCCUGAUCCAGCAAUGCCGCGUGAGUGAUGAAGGCCUUAGGGUUGUAAAGCUCUUUUACCCGGGAUGAUAAUGACAGUACCGGGAGAAUAAGCACCGGCUAACUCCGUG